Long non-coding RNA from Calidris pugnax (ruff), 643 nucleotides. RefSeq lists it as uncharacterized. NCBI's taxonomy places the organism in Eukaryota, Metazoa, Chordata, Aves, Charadriiformes, Scolopacidae. The transcript is spliced from 3 exons. The record is from RefSeq and is a predicted model, not a curated record.
CGUCCGUCCGGGCGUGCGCAUUCGGAGGUGGCGGUCGCGCCCGGUGACUGUCCGCGCUGCUCGUUGGCCUGCUCCCUGCCGCCGCUCUUAGAAGAAACACGCUCGCCGUGCCGCUCCGGGGACGGGAGCGCGGGUUUGUGCUGUUCGCCAAAGGCUCUUCCAUGAAGCAUCAGCAGCCUCCUGACUUGUGACGGCGAGUCCUGAUGUGGUUUUGGUACGUGUCUUGUGCUGCUCCACAGAUGCCCCAGCCCAGGUUUGCAGCCGGUGGUGGAGCCGUUUGAGGGGAAGGGACCAUCUUUCCGUCUGGUCAUUCGGUGCUGUCUUUUUGGGGUGAAUAAAAAGGAGGGAUAUUUAAGGAGUGAUCAUUUGAGGGCACCCCAGCAUCACCAAAGGGGGUGAUGAUGAGCAGAGGAGCAGGUGAGUUGGGGAUGUGAGGUCAUGGGGGGGGGUUCCCCCCCUAAAAGAGGGGGGGUCACAGCUCCAAAAUGCCUGAAAAGUCAUAGUGGGGUAUUUAAAAAUAACAAAACCCGUAAAUACCAAUGUGAGGUGUUGAAAUAGAGAAAAAUCUCUCGUUUACAUAUAGAUGGAAAAAAUAUUAUUUCUGUAUAUAAAAGGAGUUCAGAAUAAAACCCUAUCUCUCUAA